RNAcentral lists this ribosomal RNA (274 nucleotides) under uncultured bacterium. RNAcentral describes it as "partial 16S ribosomal RNA". It matches the Rfam family "Bacterial small subunit ribosomal RNA", at positions 523 to 796 of the family's 1533-position model. The record is from RNAcentral.
AUACGGAGGGUGCGAGCGUUGUGCGGAAUCACUGGGCGUAAAGGGCGCGCAGGCGGUUUGUCAAGUCAGAUGUGAAAGGCCACGGCUCAACCGUGGAGGUGCAUCUGAAACUGGCAGACUUGAGUACAGGAGGGGAAAGUGGAAUUCCUGGUGUAGAGGUGAAAUUCGUAGAUAUCGGGAGGAACACCGGAGGCGAAGGCGACUUUCUGGACGGAUACUGACGCUGAGGCGCGAAAGCGUGGGGAGCAAACAGGAUUAGAAACCCUAGUAGUCC